AAUAAUUUAGUGACUCUGACUCGGAUAAACAGCUUUGAAUAUACAUGUGAGUGAAUAGUAAAAUUAUAGCUAAUGUUGUUUAAGUGUGUUAUACACAUUAAGGAUGUGGAAUGGAGAGGAGGAGGAGGAAAAUUGGGAAGUAUAUGAAUGAUUUGUGUAUAAUUGGUCAUAUGCUUGAUUAUAAUUGAUAAACGAUGAAAUAGAAAUAAUGCUUAUAUUUGUGCAUUAUUGGUUUUGGUUUAAGCUCAUGUGUGAAAAUAAAGUUUCAUAGUAUUUGUGUAUCGUAUAUUCGGUAUAUGAUUUGGCAUGAAAUAAUUUCAUGAAUGGUUUAUCAUGUGGUUAGUUCCAAAAAAGAGUUAUGUUUAAAUAUACUAGCUUGUGACUAUGGUUGAAUGCUAUGUUUAUAUCUUGUGUGAUGUGUAUAGGAAACAAGUGUGGUAAGAUAAUGAAAUAGUAAGUUCAUAUGACUGAAAUUUAAUGAUUAAAUGUUAAUUUCAUGAAUUAUAUAAUGUAUGAUGAAAUGUAUUUAGUGUUGAAAAGAGAGUAAAAUAAAAAUGCGAAAAUUGAAUAAAUGAUCAAAUUGAGCGGAAAUUUGAGUACUUCUGAUCAAGUGACAAAGUGAUAGGUGAUAGCUUCGGCUACACUUAUCUGAUCAAGUGACAAGUGGAAAGUGAUAAGUGAUAGCUUCGGCUACACUUAUCUGAUCAAGUGACAAGUGGAAAGUGAUAAGUGAUAGCUUCGGCUAUACUUAUCUGAUCAAGAGACAAAGUGAUAAGUGAUAGCUUCGGCUACACUUAUCUGAUCAAGUGACAAGUGAAAAGUGAUAAGUGAUAGCUUUAGCUACACUUAUCUGAUCAAGAGACAAAGUGAUAAGUGGCUACACUUAUCU
This 889-nucleotide long non-coding RNA is filed under the name Gossypium raimondii (Peruvian cotton). RNAcentral describes it as "long non-coding RNA (GRAI_LNC001053)". Lineage: Eukaryota; Viridiplantae; Streptophyta; Magnoliopsida; Malvales; Malvaceae. The record is from RNAcentral.